AUUGAACGCUGGCGGCAGGCUUAACACAUGCAAGUCGAGCGAGUGGCGGACGUGUGAGUAAUGUCUGGGAAACUGCCUGAUGGAGGGGGAUAACUACUUGAAACGGUAGCUAAUACCGCAUACCCUCAGAUGUGCCCAGAUGGGAUUGGCUAGUAGGUGGGGUAAUGGCUCACCUAGGCGACGAUCCCUAGCUGGUCUGAGAGGAUGACCAGCCAGAAUGGAACGUAGACACGGUCCAGACUCCUACGGGAGGAAGAAGUGGGGAAUAUGGCACAAUGGGCGAAAGCCUGAUGCAGACAUGCCGCGUGUGUGAAGAAGGCCUUCGGGUUGUAAAGCACUUGCAGCGAGGAGGCGUUACGCGCAGAAGAAGCACCGGCUAACUCCGUGCCAGCAGCCGCGGUAAUUC
RNAcentral lists this ribosomal RNA (406 nucleotides) under uncultured bacterium. RNAcentral describes it as "partial 16S ribosomal RNA". It matches the Rfam family "Bacterial small subunit ribosomal RNA", at positions 30 to 526 of the family's 1533-position model. The record is from RNAcentral.